This 446-nucleotide ribosomal RNA is filed under the name uncultured bacterium. Its description in RNAcentral is "partial 16S ribosomal RNA". It matches the Rfam family "Bacterial small subunit ribosomal RNA", at positions 338 to 795 of the family's 1533-position model. The record is from RNAcentral.
CCUACGGGAGGCAGCAGUGGGGAAUAUUGGUCAAUGGGGGAAACCCUGAUGGUGCGACGCCGCGUGGGGGAAUGAAGAUCUUCGGAUUGUAAGCCCCUGUAAUGUGGGAGCAAAUUAAAAAGAUAGUACCACAAGAGGAAGAGAAGGCUAACUCUGUGCCAGCAGCCGCGGUAAUACAGAGGUCGCAAGCGUUGUUCGGAAUCACUGGGCGUAAAGCGUGCGUAGGCGGUUUCGUAAGUCGUGUGUGAAAGGCGCGGGCUCAACCCGCGGACGGCACAUGAUACUGCGAGACUAGAGUAAUGGAGGGGGAACCGGAAUUCUCGGUGUAGCAGUGAAAUGCGUAGAUAUCGAGAGGAACACUCGUGGCGAAGGCGGGUUCCUGGACAGUAACUGACGCUGAGGCACGAAGGCCAGGGGAGCGAAAGGGAUUAGAUACCCCGGUAGUC